UACGUAGGGGGCGAGCGUUGUCCGGAAUGACUGGGCGUAAAGGGCGCGUAGGUGGCGAUACAAGUCUGGAGUGAAAGUCCCGCUUUCAAGGUGGGAAUGGCUUUGGAAACUGUAUGGCUUGAGUGUGGGAGAGGAUAGCGGAAUUCCCGGUGUAGCGGUGAAAUGCGUAGAGAUCGGGAGGAACACCAGUGGCGAAGGCGGCUAUCUGGACCAAGACUGACACUGAAGCGCGAAAGCGUGGGUAGCAAACAGGAUUAGAUACCCUGGUAGUCCACGCCGUAAACGAUGGAUGCUAGGUGUAGGAGGUAUCGACCCCUUCUGUGCCGGAGUAAACACAAUAAGCAUCCCGCCUGGGGAGUACGGCCGCAAGGUUGAA
This 376-nucleotide ribosomal RNA is filed under the name uncultured bacterium. RNAcentral's name for it is "bacterial SSU rRNA". It matches the Rfam family "Bacterial small subunit ribosomal RNA", at positions 524 to 898 of the family's 1533-position model. The record is from RNAcentral.